CUUUAACGAAGCUCGAUAAGAUGGCACACUCGAAACCAUGCCGAACUCGCAAGUGAACCCUUAUAUCCAGGAAAUACUAUAAGAUUAUGGAAACCCCAUACAAACGUUAAAGAU
Molecule: ribosomal RNA, 114 nt
Filed under: Cavernulicola chilensis
Lineage: Eukaryota; Rhodophyta; Bangiophyceae; Cavernulicolales; Cavernulicolaceae
Source: RNAcentral